AAGACUCCAAUUUUUCUCUCCAGUUAUUUUGUAUUUUAUAGCCAAUUCGGUUGACAAAACUACUGCAAAAUGAAUAAGUUUAAACCAGCUUCAGUAUGGAUGGUGAUUGGUACCAUACAAGUGUUUGCUGAACUGAUAGAAGUACAACUGUACAUGCUCAUGUGGCCCUCCCCUGCAGAGUGAAGCAUCCAAGCACAUAGAGAAGGAACAGCGGGUUACAGCUACAACCUGUAUCUGCCCGGAUGGCUGCCCAUGAUGUCCACCAUAUCUAGUUCUGGCAAGGUGAAGUAGGCGAAC
This is a long non-coding RNA of Asterias rubens (European starfish), 297 nucleotides long. RefSeq lists it as uncharacterized. The record is from RefSeq and is a predicted model, not a curated record. Lineage: Eukaryota; Metazoa; Echinodermata; Asteroidea; Forcipulatida; Asteriidae. The transcript is spliced from 3 exons.